CGGCCACCGGACCGCCCCAAAUACACCCACACUUAUAUUAUUUAUUCCUUUGUUACACAGUUUUAAUAAUAAUUGAUAACAUAUUAAUGGUGGUGGAAUUGGUGGCAGUAAAAUUAUUAUGGUAAUUAAAACCUAGUACACAGUUGGAAGACAGUAGAGAUGCAUGAGGAUCAACAAUCCAACUAAGUUGAAAUGAGCACCAUUCUUCAAUUAGCAAUAGACGAUGACGACAUGGAAUAAUGUCCUUAUACACGAAUCGCCAGGAACACAUCCUUUUCAGAAAGGAAAAGAAGUAAAAAAUGAGAAUACGAUUUUAUCCAGUCUGCCUUACACAAUGCUCAUCGUUUCCUACGGCUAGAAGGAGAUGUGUAUCGAACUCCGGUAGCCGGAAAAUUGUCUGUGUCUCACUCAACAUCGGACGGCAAGUCGAGGGAAUCAGUUUCAUCAUAAUGUUUUAAUAAAUACAAAUUUAACAGCACAGGUACCUUAAACACAAAACUCAGAAAUCGAACUGCUUCCACAAUUUUUUUUUGCUUUCUCCGUAUACGAUGGAUCGCGACAACCAUAACCUUUUUUCCGGGGGCCCACACAGGAAAAUGAGGAAACUGGGACGAAAUUUAUUAAAGCUAUUUUACCGAUGUCGAACAUAAGGGAAAGUUUACCAUCGAUUUAAUGUUGUACAGUAUCAACGCUUUUACUAACCGCGUAUUGUGUAUCCAAUUUAAUUAUAUUUCCAUGUAUACCACGUCUUUUAUCGAUCCUCUGGAAGCACACGAGCUCAAUCAGGACGCUUUUCUAUCACGGAAGAAGGAAAGCACAUCAUCAACUAUUAGUAUGAGCUUCUAGCAUUUCAAUCCAUAACGACUAAUAUGACCCGGUAGCAACAAUAUUCAAAUGACAGCAAUAUGCAACCCAGUACCGUACGCUACACAAAUCACUGAAUAAGUCAUCAGUUGGCUGAUGAAUUCUGAGAAACGUUUUAACCCUAACCCAACAAAAACUGCAACCUUCUCCUGUAGUUUAAAAUAUCAACAAUCAGUUGUCUAUGGUGCAUACAGCGGAAAACUUAAACUUAGUUGUAACUCGUUUCGAAGAAAAUAGUGCACCAAACAUCAUCGUAUCUAGCCAUGUGAUUGAAUUUCUUGGAAUGUAAAAUAUUCUUCUUUUACAUGUAAUGCAGUUGCGAUUUGCGCAAUAUUAUAUUUGUCUUCACACGGCAGGACCGGGGUUCAAAUCCCAUUCGCACCGCCUCCCCGUACGCAGGGCUGACUACUUUUCUACGGGUAAAUUCAAGUCACAGAAAGUCAGAAUGGCAAGCCCAGAUCCAGAAGGUUGUAGUGCCAUCGAAGAAGAAGAAGAAAUAUAUUUGCUCCUUCUUGCACUCGCAUUAGCCGUGACCUGGAGAACUGGAUGGAAUGGUGCCAGCUCGUACCUAUCAUCAUCUGGAUGAGAGUGUAAGAUGUCUAUUGACAAGUGCACAUUAUAUAGAACAAAGGCUCUCACCUAUCAUGCAAAUGAUAGUGUGAGAAGCCGAUCGAUGAAUGCAUAUGGUCUCCAGGUCACGGCCGAUGCGCUUCCGCCUGCCGUUACGUUAGCUAACCACAGCAAGAUACUCGGCCCAACGAACGGGGAACGAUCUGUACAGAAUUCGUAACCGUUCCUGUCAUCGUCUUAAAGACCAGCGCCACCGUAACCAGCUAUACUAAUUGGAUGCAAAAAUAAUAAUCUGGAAUAUUUUAAAUUUAGACUAUAUUUUUAUUACUGUAAUUUAAAAACAGCUACAAAAGCUUUAAAAAACAAAAUAAUCCUUCAAAGCGUUUGCUUCUAGCCAUGAUUCAAUAAUUAUCCACAUUGCAAUUGCAUUUUAUGUAACAGACGAUUAUUAAGCAUUAUUUCACAAUCAUGGUGAAAUGAAAUGGUUAGAGGCGAUGAAAAUUAACGUACUAUUUCCUACAAAUCGAGUUUCAGUUAAGUGUCUUUUUCCCCUUCCAUGCUACUUGUGCAUCUGAUUAUUGGUUUUUUAGACUAUGCAAAACAUUAGAACGUUGCUGUUUUUGUUCGGUUAGGGCUAAGACGUUUCUAAUCAUUCAUCAGCUAACUGAAAACUUAUUGUGUGAUAAGCGUAGCUUACGGCACCGUGUUGCGGAAGCUAUCGUUUGAAUUUUGCGUUUUCUGGGUUUUGUUGGCUCAUUCUUCGGGAGUUUUUGUGCAAAGCAUCAUCAUCACUUACUAAAUACGUCCUUUUCUCUUUUUAACUAUACUUCCAUGCACCCAUCGAGUUUCUUGCGUUUUGGAGCACAUGUGGACACAAACCAUCACAAGCGGCAAACAAAGGUAUACCCAAAAAUCCUACCAACUAUAACUGCCAUCUCAAACCCCACUACUUCCUUCCCUUUUUUUUUCUUAUUUUUUUACAUGAAAUGCUCUCAACUAUCAUUUCUUGGGCUCACUGCGAUGGCAAUGCGUGAGGGCAAGCCUGGAUUAAGUCAACUCGAGGAGGAGUUUACUGGGCAAACAAUCCAUCGUAACUCUUGUAUCGAGUGAUUGUGAUCGAUGAAUCCCACAUUUAUCGUGGAUGGUUGGUUGAUCCAGGUUGUAUUAUGAAGAUAUCCCUCCUAUCCCUAGCUAUCCUCGCUCGUUUUUAUGGACACUCGAAUAAUCUUUCAGGAGAAUAUGCAUUUGAGUUAUCAUCAACAAAAAUACGGAAUGGACGGGAUGGACGCUUAAGGCAACCAGAAUUAUUUGCAUGUUUAAGCAAAUGGAUGGAUUUGUAACUUAGAACUUAGCUUCCAGGAAAAGAAGUUCUUCUACACUUUCCACAGAGCGGAAUCGUCCCGGUUUGUUAGGCUGGCUAGUGUUAGCUAGUGGUUGCUUCUUGCCCAUGAAUUCUUCCAGCAAUCCGGCUAUAUAUUCUACUCUGCCACUGAGCUGCCGAAUUUCCUGUGUAAUUAUGUCCUGCCGGACCUGGACGUUCGCAAGCAUUCGACGCAUGGAUUGGAAUUCCUGCGCCGAACCCGUCGCGGAUGAUGAUACCGGCAUAUUGUUGUUGCAGUCGGAAUUUUGCUUUGAAUCCAUCUAAAAUUGAAAAAAGCGUUGUUAGGGACAUUUUAACUUUCCACUGUGUUAUUUAAAACAGUUUUUUCUUACCUUUUUGCGAAAAUAAUCUAAACACUCGUCACAAGACUAUCCUGAACCAGAACUAAAGCAAAAUGAAAUGUUCACCAUUCUUCGAAUUUGAAUUUUGAAAGAAGAAUAAAUGUAUGUGAAAGCAAAACAAUAUCACAACGGCA
Long non-coding RNA from Anopheles stephensi (Asian malaria mosquito), 3290 nucleotides. RefSeq lists it as uncharacterized. The record is from RefSeq and is a predicted model, not a curated record. The transcript has 4 exons. Lineage: Eukaryota; Metazoa; Arthropoda; Insecta; Diptera; Culicidae.